This 494-nucleotide ribosomal RNA is filed under the name uncultured bacterium. Its description in RNAcentral is "partial 16S ribosomal RNA". It matches the Rfam family "Bacterial small subunit ribosomal RNA", at positions 28 to 507 of the family's 1533-position model. The record is from RNAcentral.
GACGAACGCUGGCGGCGCGCUUAACACAUGCAAGUCGAACGGAAAGGCCUGCUUUCCCUUGUGGAUUGCGGGUACUCGAGUGGCGAACGGGUGAGUAACACGUGAGUGAUCUGCCCCCAACUUGGGUAUAAGCCUGGGAAACUGGGUCUAAUUCCCGAUAGGACUGCAGGGUGGUGCCUGUGGUGGAAAACGAUUUUCUAGUGGUUGGGGAUGAGCUCGCGGCCUAUCAGCUUGUUGGUGGGGUAAUGGCCUACCAAGGCGGCGACGGGUAGCCGGCCUGGGAGGGUGGACGGCCACAGUGGGACUGAGAUACGGCCCAGACUCCGACGGGAGGCAGCAGUGGGGAAGAUUGCACAAUGGGCGGAAGCCUGAUGCAGCGACGCCGCGUGGGGGAUGACGGCCUUCGGGUUGUAAACUCCUUUCGACCGCGAGGAAGCCACCUGGUUGGAAGGGUGGUGACGGUAGUGGUAGAAGAAGCACCGGCUAACUACGUG